GAUACACCAGCCUGGAUCAGGUUACCUCUUUUAUUCUGGAGGAAUUGAGAUCAUCCGGUAAACUCCAUGGGUAUCGGUGGAUGCAUGCAAAGUGCGUUCAAAAUGGUCUGCAUGUAAGGAAGGAACAUGUCCGUCUGAUUUUGCAAGAACUUGACCCACAGGGAGUUGAACUCCGAAGAGCCAGACGUCUGCACCCCCGCAGUUACUUCGCUAAGGGUCCAAAUUAUAUCUGGCAUUUGGAUUCAUACGACAAACUGAAACCCUUCGGAUCUGCAUUAAUGGCUGCAUUGAUGGGUUUUCACGGAAAAUAAUAUGGAUGAACGCAUUUACGACAAGCAGCGAUGCAAAAAUCAUUGGAGGCUAUUACAUAAAUGCAGUCGAGAGUUUGGGUGGCUGUCUGAGGGUUGUCAGAGGUGACCGAGGCACAGAGAACAUCCGGGUUGGAGAGUUUCAGCUUUUUCUGCGUCGGAAUAUUCAUGAUGGCUCUGCUAUUGACAGCUAUAUUGAGGGAGCAAGUACAUCCAAUCUAAGAAUAGAGAGCUGGUGGGGUUUCCUCAGAAAGGAAUCAAUGGAAUACUACAUCUCAAUGCUUAUUGAUCUGAAGGACCGCGGUUUGUUCGAUGGUGCAUAUUUGGACAGAAAUCUGAUCCAGUUUUGCUUCAUUGGAAUAAUCCAGGUAAGCAUGAAUUAUGAAUGUUGUAUUAUGAAUGUCGUAUAUGUUCCCUCGCUAUCCCCCUCACUUUCCGCGGGCCCCUGUUUCAUAUCCCCUCUUUCGUUCCUAAAGUGCAUCAAGUUCUGCACCCUACAGGGUUGCCAGAUUGGUCGGUUUUCCGCACAAUUGCCUGACUUUUAUUUUAAAUUUGCGGACUACAAUUACCAAUUGGGGAUCAGUGGAGUUCAACAAAUUCGAGCGGGUUUGGAGUCGGGUGUAUUCAGACUGGUAAAGUUCAAAGGUUCGGAUAGUGUCCACUUAUUUGUUCCGUGUCGAGUCUUGAAAAUUGCUUUUGCUCUGUUUUCAGACUAGCAUCUACCGGAGAUUUCUGACUGAUCAAACUUUGUAAACAAUUCCAUGUGACUAAAGAUCUCUUCAGUAAUUGUUCAGCAGUUAAGGGGUCAAAACAAAAAGAGAUAGAUUAGGGGGGCUACGGUUUACCAGGAUUUCUCACUCAGUGUAACUUCUUAUUUUGCGGAUCCAUUUUGAUAUGAAGGUCAGAUUUGACAUUGUUUACUGCUGCUUUGAUACGACGUAAGCAGACUUCAGGCUGGUGCUGGGGAUGCUAAGGCUACUCGGACGAGCUGGACAAGACAAUCAGUGUUUGGAAUUCACACAUCAUUCGACCAUCCAAGAAUGACAGAGUGCCAAGUGGUCGACCCAAAGUCAUGUACAUGUUUCCAGAACUCUACUCAACUAACGACUGCGUUUCUCCAGUGGAUGAUGCUGACGUUCAGCUGUGUCACGCCAACUGCACAUUUCGACCAACAGUGCCAUGUGACACAGACAUUUACGACCU
Oryzias melastigma (Indian medaka) is the source of this 1511-nucleotide RNA transcript. RefSeq lists it as uncharacterized. NCBI's taxonomy places the organism in Eukaryota, Metazoa, Chordata, Actinopteri, Beloniformes, Adrianichthyidae. The record is from RefSeq and is a predicted model, not a curated record. The transcript is spliced from 2 exons.